RNAcentral lists this ribosomal RNA (198 nucleotides) under uncultured bacterium. RNAcentral's name for it is "partial 16S ribosomal RNA". It matches the Rfam family "Bacterial small subunit ribosomal RNA", at positions 338 to 524 of the family's 1533-position model. The record is from RNAcentral.
CCUACGGGAGGCAGCAGUGGGGAAUCUUCCGCAAUGGAGGCAAAGUCUGUGCGGAUACAACGCCGCGUGAGCGAUGACGGCCUUCGGGUUGUAAAGUUCUGUUAUACGGGACGAAUGGGACGACGGUCAAUACCCGUCGUAAGUGACGGUACCGCAGGAGAAAGCCACGUAUAAUCUACGGGCCGCAGCCGCGGUAAU